Molecule: ribosomal RNA, 446 nt
Filed under: uncultured bacterium
Lineage: Bacteria
Description: partial 16S ribosomal RNA
Rfam family: Bacterial small subunit ribosomal RNA
Source: RNAcentral
CCUACGGGUGGCAGCAGUCGAGAAUCAUGCACAAUGGGGGAAACCCUGAUGGCGCGACGCCGCGUGGGGGAAUGAAGGUCUUCGGAUUGUAAACCCCUGUCAUGUGGGAGCAAAUUAAAAAGAUAGUACCACAAGAGGAAGAGACGGCUAACUCUGUGCCCGCAGCCGCGGUAAUACAGAGGUCUCAAGCGUUGUUCGGAAUCACUGGGCGUAAAGCGUGCGUAGGCUGUUUCGUAAGUCGUGUGUGAAAGGCGCGGGCUCAACCCGCGGACGGCACCUGAUACUGCGGGACUAGAGUACUGGAGAGGGAACCGGAAUUCUCGGUGUAGCAGUGAAAUGCGUAGAUAUCGAGAGGAACACUCGUGGCGAAGGCGGGUUCCUGGACAUUAACUGACGCUGAGGCACGAAGGCCAGGGGAGCGAAAGGGAUUAGAUACCCCAGUAGUC